Molecule: transfer RNA, 72 nt
Filed under: Phrynosoma platyrhinos (Desert horned lizard)
Lineage: Eukaryota; Metazoa; Chordata; Lepidosauria; Squamata; Phrynosomatidae
Description: tRNA-OTHER
Source: RNAcentral
GACCGCAUGGUGUAGUGGUUUGAGCAUUGGACUAUGACUCUGGAGACCAGGGUUUGAAUCUCUGCUUAGCCA